CCCGGCCUAAUCAAUCUGUUCUCGCUAUGCUUGGCGCUCUUCUGUCUCUCGUUCUUCUAAAUCCUCUGCAAUUAUUUCAUUUUCACUCGUUUUUCUUGCCCUGUUUUUCUUCUUUUCUCAUUUUCUCUCCGCUCUCUUUCAGAUUAGUAUCUCCUGUGUCUCUGUCUCUGUCUCUGUCCGGCUCGUUGUCUUUUUCUGUGGUUCUGUCUCUCUUAAGUGCGUGUGUGUGUGUGUGUGUGUCGUCUUUUCUAUUUCCGUCUAGUCUGAUGUGUUUCUCUGUCUCUCCCUCUCCCCUCCCAGACACACGCGGGCGCGCGCGCAUAGACACACACACACACACACACACACACACACGCCUCCCUCCUUCCCUCCUCUCGCUAUCACCGUAGGACCCUCCCCCUCCCACUUAAUUCCUUCCAUCUGCGGAAUCGCUUUGCGGGCCGGCUCCGCCAAGGGGGGCCCGGGUUCCUGCCCCAGGAAGGACUCCCCGCCUCCUUCCCUCGCCUUCCCCCCCUCCCCCUCUCCCUUCUCCUAUUUCGGUUCUGCGCCGGCCUUUUCCUCCGCCCAGACCCCCGGCCCCAGCCCAACCCGGUGCCUCCGCGGGCCGCCAGGACCCCAGAUGGGACUGCGGGAGCUCGGGAAGACGACUGUCACCCAUCUUCCAGAACGACCCAGCUACUCCAACUCAGCAAGAUAAUAUGCCAUCUUUCCAAGUCAAGAGUUAUCCUUCUCCAAAAGAUUGAGUACCUCUUUCCGUGACAAGAGCUACCUUUUGCAGUCAGACAGAACUGGUUUAAAUCUCUGCUCAGCUGGUGCUUCCCAUGUGGCUUCCAACAGCUUCGGAUCUACAUGCCUUCAAGAAAGAAAGAUGCUUCCACUUUCAACAUGAUGAGUCCCAGAGAAGAACCCUGGUUAGCCCAGCUUAGGUCACGGAGAAGAUAAGAGAAACUGAGGCUCAGAGGGGCAAAGUCCCUCAUCCCAGUGGAGCAGGAUUCACUGGAGGACUUCUGACUCCAGCUUGGAUUCUUUCCAUUGUUGUGUACUGCUUCCCUCUUUGCGGACCCCUGAGGUGAGGAGAGGUCAGGGCUGGGGCUGGGUGUGGGGCCUUGCUGAAUGUGGCCAGACGGGAGCAGCCUAGACCUCAGGACUAUAGCCACAGGGCACGUGGCCAUCGCGGGGCACUCCAGAGCUCCCAUGGGAACUGCUGGGGUGGGAGGCAGGCAGAGUGUUUGUGUGUCUGGGAGUUCACAUCCUCCAAGUAAACACAUCCAUGAGGGAACCGGGGCGCCUCCCUGUGACUGAGACCGUUCGAUUGGCUUCUGAGCAGUAAACUGUAGCUGACCUGGAGACACCGGCUGAUACUUCCGAAGAAACCCAUCUGAGGCUCCACCGCCUCCAAGAUGCCUGCCCAAGGACCUCCCCCAACCCCCUACUCCAGAUUCGGAGCCCUUCUGUGGCCAUCAUGUGGGAGAUGAGAGGCCUGGCGGUGGUCAGCGUGCUCCAGGGAAGUCUUGGAGGAAAUGCCAUCACUGUUUACACAUCCCCGUGGGGCUCAGAUUGAGGGCAGACGGAACAGAUGUGUCCUGGAAGCCCCAGAGAAGACAUAGGAAGAUUCCAACCCGAUGUGAUGAGAGACUUCCAGUGGUUAGAGAUGUCUCCAGGACAAAGGCAACGCAGAUUUACUGGUACAGGCCUGGCAACAGUGAGAACAUUGCAUAAGCCCCUGGUCACUGGUGAAAUGGCUGUGGAAUCAUUCUAGGAACAAAAUUUUCAUCCCAUCCUUCCCAUGGGAACAAGACCUCCUGUGUAAUUUCCAGUGGGGAAACCAGAGAGCUGGGAAGCCGUUUUUAACCCCACUGAGAGAUGUGCUAAUGAUGCAGGAGAAAAAAAUGGAGGUUAAAAUAAACUCUAAGAAAAACUCGCACAUGUUUAUGAGGCCCUAAACUGUGCUGUCGUAAGAGGCUCGGAAACCUCCCUCUCCAAAGAAAGCAGACUUUGACUCAUCUUAAGAUGGCUUAAGGGCUGAAGGAAUACCACAAGGCCCUUCAAAAAUGAACCCCAGGAGAGGAGAUAGGUGUUCUCUCAAGUUUCAAGUCACACAGCUGAAAGAAAAUAAAGACAAAAGGAGCUGGACGUAAUCACCAUGCUCUAGCUGUACUCAAAGCCACACCCCCACCCCCCACCCUUGUGGAAGUACAGGUGAACAUUCUGACAAUGCUAUGCGUGGACUUGAGCACUUAGGCAACGGGAUGGAGGCUGACUUCUCACUGUCAGAGUAGGAGGUUACAAAUAGGUAGGAAGAAGAGGCUAGAAUAAAUGCAUAUUUGGCUUAAUAUAGAUACCAUAUAGAUGGCUACAUAUAGGAAUAUUUAUAGGUAUGUAUAUACACAUGGCUUAGUAUACAUACAGAUAUCUUUUUGCUCUAUCCGCUGAGCAAGCCUGGAAGCAACAGCAUCCCAACAUCAGUGCGCACACCCGGUACCCAGAUUUUGGUUUCUAACACUACUCUCCAAUAAAAGGAACCAGGACUCCUUGGAGAAAUGGUUGAUUCUAGAACUGGGGCAAGAAAUACACAAAUGAGCCAGGAGCAUCUUGCAGUGCUAAAAAGUAAGAAAGUGCUCUCUUGUGUGCUCUCCCUCUCUCUCGUGCACGCACGCGCACACACACUGCACACACAACGAUGGGGACACGUCAAAGGACACAGGAGCCAAGUGAAGGAGUUCCUAACAGCCAAAGCUAGAACCAUUUGAGCAACGAAAUAAAGCAGCAUUGGAUUACAACUCAAUGUAUAAAAUAAAGGUCCAUGAGUCUAUACUGAUAUAAAAGAAUAAACAGAGAACAGGCAAAUCUCCUGCACAGAAGAAUUCCACAUAAUCUAUAUUGAUCCUCUGCCCUUAAGGGGGUGUAACAUAACUCCCCAAUCCUUAAAUAUGAGUUGGGCACAGUGACUUCCUUCCAAAGAUCACAGUAUGGCGGUGGGGGAAGGUGGAAAGAGCCACUUUAGAGUGGAGAAACCUGACAAAUAGUACCUCGGCCAGGUGACCAAAGUUACCCUCAUCAGUGAUAAGCCAUGUUGAUAUUAUGUACUCUUGAUAGAAUGUGAUGAAAAUGGCACCAUGCCUCUCUGUGGUCUUUCUCUCAAGAACACAUAAUCCUGCCUGAUCACUAGAGAAACUUCAGAAAAAAUCCCAACUGAAGGACAUUCUACAAAACACCCAACCAGUACUCCUCAAAAUUGUCAAGAUAAUCAAAAACAAGGAAAGUCUGAGAACAGUUCUAGCCAGGAGGAGACUAAGGAGAUAUGACUGGACACAGCAAGUGUAUUUUUUUAAAUCCAUGGAAGCAAUAAAUCCUAGAUAAAACUAGCUAGAACCCAGAACACUUGAAGAAUCUACUCAACAAGCAGAUACAGAAAUAUUUUCUGAUAAGAGUAUUUUGUUCAAGUUCACUCAUUAUAAGAACAGAUCAAGGAUUAAAAAAAAAACUGGGUCUUUGGAUGAACAUGACAGAAAAGUACAAAUUUUAGUAAAAUCUAAUCUUAGGAUGACAGAGAAAUAAUUCUAUCAUAUUUGUAUUAAAAGGGAGUUAUUAGAAACUAGUGUAAAGUACAUAUACUCUCAUAUCAUCACUUCUGAUUUUAAAAUUUAAGUCCACAAGCACCAUAAAAAGACGUUAGAUGUUAUUCUUGUAGAAUAUGAAGACAUUGGGGGAAAAUGAAAUUUUCCCUUUGGAAUGAACUCAAUAUAUUAUGCCCCCCCCCCAAACAGUCUAAGAACAAGUGUAACCCCUGGAGCCAUUCCCUCCCUCGCUACACAGGUUGGGGACUGUCUGUUCAGCUCAGCAGAAGCCUGAGGCUUCAUUUUCUGGACAGGAUAAAAUGAGGAUAUCCAGACAGGAAGACAGCAGGCACGGAUGAGUGGAGAGUAUUAAAAAUGGGAUUAAAUGUAAGUUUACUUAAGAGAUAAUGUUGAAACCUUCAGUCUUCUUCCCCCGCUCUAAUCUUGAAGCACCAGCAGUGAGGCAUAUAGGAUCCAGGCAUGGACUGCGUAGGCACUCCCUAACAAAACGUCUAGCCUGAUUGCCUGGAGAGAAGCCCAGAGUCGCCAAGCACCCCUUCGACACACACAUGCAUACACCCACGCACGCACGCACGCGCAUGCACGCACAACAUCCAGUCAGAUGUUGGGGUCUUCCUCAGGCAAGAAGACAGCCAAGAAUCACCUAUCUUUUGAGGAAAGCCUCUACUAAGAGACAAAAGCAACUUGGAAGAAGCAGAGGCUGUGUAGGGAGAAAACAUACGAAAAAUGGUCAUGAAUAUCUUCAGAGAGAUGAGAGAGAUUAUUGUAUACCUGAGGCGAAAAGAGGAACCAUAAGAAAGAGCAUCCAGAGGAAAAAAACUAGCCCUUAGAAAUUAAACACAUAAUUAGAACAAAAGUUCAGUACGUAAAGAGAAUGAAAAAGACACGCCAAAGACUAGGAGAACGUAUUUGCAAAACACAGAUGUGGUGGAGCCUUGUAGUUAAGAUAUACAAAGAACUCUUCAAACUGGGAGCGCCUGGGUGGCUCAGUUGGUUAAGCGACUGCCUUCGGCUCAGGUCAUGAUCCUGGAGUCCCUGGAUCGAGUCCCGCAUCAGGCUCCCUGCUCGGCAGGGAGCAGGCUUCUCUCUCUGACCCUCCUCCCUCUCAUGCUCUCUGUCUCUCAUUCUCUCUCUCUCAAAUAAAUAAAUAAAAAUCUUUAAAAAAAAAAGAACCCUUCAAACUGAACAAUAAGGAAACAAGCGACCCAAUUAAAAAAUAGGCAAACUAUCUGAACAGAUUCUUUCUCAAAGAAGAUAUACAGAUGGCAAGUAAACAUAUGAAAGGUUGCUCCACAUCAUAUAUCAUUAGGAAUUACAAAUUAAAAUAAUGAGACACCACUACGUACUUAUUAGAAUGGCUGCAGUCCAAAACACUGACAACACCAAGUGCUGGUGAGCAUGUGGAGCAACAGGAACUCUCAUUCAUUGCUGGUGGGAAUGCAAAGUGGUACAGCCACUUCAGAAUGCAGUCUGGAAGUUUCUUGCAAAGCUAACCAUAGCUUACCAUACAAUCCAGCUCCUUGGUGUUCACCCAAAUGAGUUGAAAACCUUUGCCCACACAAAAACCUGCACGUGAAUGUUUAUAGCAACUGUAUUCAUAAUUGCCCCAAACUAACGGCAACCAAGAUGUUCUUCAGUAGGUGCAUUCAAAAAGUAUCAAUACAAGCAAAUUAUUUUGAAAUAUGGAAGUAAAUACCAGCAGAAUUGUUAAAAAGAGUUGGAAGUAGUUGCUUCUGGAGAAAAAUAAACAAUGAGGACAGGGUAAGAAACUAGUUUUUGUUGUAACAAAAGAACAAUUUGCCUCUUUGACUGUGUCCAUGGAUAAAUGUGAUAAAAAUAAAAACAACAACAAAAAAAGAAAAAUAGAAAAAGAACUGGAGAGAAAGGAAAGCUCACACAUAGACUGAGCACCACUCUGAGCCAGCACUGUUCCAGACAGCUCCUUGUGCUUUUCCUCACUGAUUCCCCCCGCCCCCAACCAUGAGCAUGCAUCACCUCCCCUAUGAUGUAGGUGAGAAAACAGAGGCCCAGAGACACCAAGACCCUGCCUGGGGACAGAUGCCCAGCAAGAGCUACUCAAUCUGUCCAUAUCCUCUUCCCACUCCUUCGGGCAGCUCUUACCAACACAUUAUUUUUCUUCUGAGUUAGUUCCUCUAAGGAGUAAAGGUCUGGUCCCUUCCCCAGUGCCUUCCUCCAGCUCCUGCUGACUUGGGGACAUAACUCUGUCAGUGGUUUAAUUCAAUCCAGAUGGAAGGCUCCACUUGGCUCUUAAAGCAUGCCCUUUGAGAGUGCUGAGAUUUGCAGAUAAACCUUGAGAUGUGAGAGGAGAGCAAGAAAACAGGAGGGUGACAGCAUAUGAAGUUUGGGGGUGGGGGAGUCACUUAGGGAUGAGUUUGAACCUGAUGGAGAGCCUUCUGCACAGCUGUGAGGCCUGUGGCCAGGGUUUGGGCCUUGGGCCACCAGCCCAGAAUCUUAGAGGCAGAAACUCAUGUGCUCCGCCCAUCACAAAUUCCCCAAACACUUUUGAAUGCCCAGCGGCAGGCGUUGGGGUGGGAGCUGUGGUACAGUGUUGAAUCAGACAUAAACCUCUGCCUUGAGGGAUUCAUGGUCUAGCAAAUGAGACAGUAAGAUGGGCAGACAGAUGGGUAUCCAAAUAUUUAUGGUCCAGUGGUACCAGAAAGAAACAUUACAGUAGAGGCAGGGGCAGUAUAGGAGGAGGACAAGAGUCAGAGUCUCGAAGGAACUGACAUGGAGCUGGGUUAUGAAAAAUGAACAGGCACAUGCCGGGGAAAGAAGUUGGGAGGCCCACCCCAAGCCAAGAAAAGAGCAGGUGCAAAGGCAUAGUGGCUUGGAAGGAUGGUUAAUCAUAGAAGCAGGGUGAGAAAGAACUCUAGGGUUGCUUGGAGCAGUCCCAUAUAGCUCGGAGGAGGGGAUGUCAUGAGACGUGGCCUCCAUUCCUGGUCCUUCCUCUUGCGGGUGGUAUGACCUAGGGAAAGUCACCUGUACUCUCAGGGCCUUGGUUUCCUCAUAUGUUUAAUGAGGAAGGUAGAUUUGAAUUUUUUAAAACAACAUGAAAAUAAUAUAUUACAUUGUAUUCUUAAAAAAAAGAAAACCCAAGUUAUAUACCUGUGUGUGAUGAAAAACAAGUUUCUUGGCCCAAUCCUCCCUACCUCUGACUUAUGUCCCUAAGGCAACCUCUUUUAAUCAUUUAUGUUUUUGUUUAUUGAAGUCCUUAGUCUCUGAAACUCUGAAUAAAAUGUUUAUGGAUCUGUUUUUUGA
This is a long non-coding RNA of Mirounga angustirostris (Northern elephant seal), 6857 nucleotides long. RefSeq lists it as uncharacterized. Lineage: Eukaryota; Metazoa; Chordata; Mammalia; Carnivora; Phocidae. The record is from RefSeq and is a predicted model, not a curated record. The transcript has 5 exons.